Pelobates cultripes (western spadefoot toad) is the source of this 224-nucleotide non-coding RNA. Lineage: Eukaryota; Metazoa; Chordata; Amphibia; Anura; Pelobatidae. The record is from the annotation of a GenBank genome assembly.
ACAGUAUACAGCUUAAUGUAUAAUAUACAGCUUAAUGUACGGUAUACAGCUUAAUGUACAGUAUACAGCUUAAUGUACGGUAUACAGCUUAAUGUAUAAUAUACAGCUUAAUGUACAGUAUACAGUUCAAUGUACGGUAUACAGCUUAAUGUACGGUAUACAGCUUAAUGUAUAAUAUACAGCUUAAUGUACGGUAUACAGCUUAAUGUACGGUAUACAGCUUA